CAGGUGCUGCAUGGUUGUCGUCAGCUCGUGUCGUGAGAUGUUGGGUUAAGUCCCCGCAACGAGCGCAACCCUCGACCUUAGUUGCCAGCAUUCAGUUGGGCACUCUAAGGUGACUGCCGGCUAAAAGUCGGAGGAAGUGGGAUGACGUCAAAUCAUCAUGCCCCUUAUGACCUGGGCUACACACGUGCUACAAUGGUUGGUACAACGAGUUGCGAGUCGGUGACGGCGAGCUAAUCUCUUAAAGCCAAUCUCAGUUCGGAUUGUAGGCUGCAACUCGCCUACAUGAAGUCGGAAUCGCUAGUAAUCGCGGAUCCAGCCACGCCGCGGUGAAUACGUUCCCGGGCCUU
RNAcentral lists this ribosomal RNA (347 nucleotides) under uncultured Streptococcus sp. Its description in RNAcentral is "bacterial SSU rRNA". It matches the Rfam family "Bacterial small subunit ribosomal RNA", at positions 1035 to 1382 of the family's 1533-position model. The record is from RNAcentral. Lineage: Bacteria; Bacillati; Bacillota; Bacilli; Lactobacillales; Streptococcaceae.